AGUAAAGGAAAACCGCCCCUAGAGAGCAUGCGCACAACCUCAGUCAACUCACUACACAUGCAAUUACCCUCCUGAGUGCUGACCAACACUGCUGCAUGGGGCUGUUGAGCAACAGCCCGCCCCAAGGGAAGAACCGAGGGAGGAGAAGAGAAAACUCCAGAGCCGUGCCAACGGAUAAACCCCACGCCCAGGGCUGAGCGGUCACUUGGAUCUCUCACGUGGCGCACUCAGCCCUCUUCCAAAUUCUUUCCACUGAGGAGGCAAGGAUGGAGUUGCUGCUGACCCGUGCAGAUUUGCUGCUGGUAACAUACUCAUGGGCAAAGUCUGAAAAACCUCUUCCUGCCCUGGGCAAGGCAGAUGGGGCAGCCCAGCAGGCUGGCUUUGCCCACCGUCUCCGAUAUCAUCCAACACAGUCAGCCAGGCCACAUUCGCUGCAUCCUUUCCAGCAAGAUGUCAUUCUGAGAUUUUUGUCAUUCCUGGGCGUUAUGAGGACUGCCAAGGGACACAAUUCCAUGGGAGGAAAGUUUUCUUCUAAGCUGCAAGCCAGCUCUGGCUUCUGGAGUUUCUCCUUAGGAUUGCAAGACAGUAGUUCCCUGUCCUUUAGGUCUUCUCCAGAAAUACCUUAAAAUAGCAAAUAAAAUAAGAUAUAAGCAAACAAAACCUGAAGUUAA
Long non-coding RNA from Homo sapiens (human), 671 nucleotides. Ensembl annotates it as S-phase cancer associated transcript 1. Its record names the gene SCAT1. Lineage: Eukaryota; Metazoa; Chordata; Mammalia; Primates; Hominidae. The record is from Ensembl.